UUUCUCAGUUCCCCUUAUAUAUUCGUUCUUUCAUUAAAUUCUAGGAUCAAUUUGAUGCUGUACAGAGUCUAUUUCUGGGAGCCAAUGACUUAGGAAUAUUGAAUUUUCCAAACUCAGUAACACGGCUUAACUGAUCCUCAGAAUAAACCACCGGACCACCAUCUAACUGAUGGAUCGGGCACCUCAGUCCUCAGCUGUAGCCUAUACAAGGUGUCCCUGCUGUGAGCUAGGAGCCCACAAAGAGUUCUGCCGGAGACGGGUGUUCAUCAGAAGGUGAAAUCACCUUUGCGUUUUGAUCCAUGGCUUCCAAAGAUAGAAGAGAUGAUUGGUUUUCCCCGAGAUUCAAAUGAUACCGGCAUCCCGAACGAUGCUCAGAGAAUGUCGCUUUAAACAACAAAAUGAAGGCGUCCAUUGAUGGAUCUCCCACCCUUGCUGCUCCUGGCAGCGUCGCGUCGCUUUGGCUUGUGAAGAGGGCCGUGCCAGGAUUUCCUGCUCCACACCUGCCUUUGGAGGGGGCUGCAUGUGAGGAUUCUGUCAGGCCACCGCAGCUUGCAGCAGCUGCCAACCUGAGGACGAGGGCUGGAUAAUUUACAAUGCAAGGAAUCCAUUCUUUUUGAGAGGGGGAAGGGAGAAAUCAAGAUUUAAGCUCCUUAUCCUGGGCUGAACUUUUCUCCUCCAUUCUUAAUGGCACUGGGCGUAAAUAAACCAUCCAUUUUGCUUUGUAGAACUGGCUGGUCUUUGCACAAACUCACUGGAAUCGACAGCCCAGGUUCAGAACCAAGACCACAGGUCUAGGCUGUAACCGAUUUGUAAACAAUACUAAUUUACAUUUUCCCACUGUCUGUUAGCCUUAUCAGGACCUGUCUUUCUAUUCUUCUGCCCCCAACAUCUGCAGAGAAAGUUUUUUUUUUUUUAUUGUCAGCUACUAAUGGUUCUUCUGUCCCAUAUUUUUAAUGUGAAGAUUAAAUAUUUAUAAAUGCCUUGUCAAUAGCAUCCCAUAACCAGGCCCUCUCGAAGCCACAAAGCAUGGACCUAAGCUCACUCCCACGAAGUCAGGGGUCACAGGUCAAGCGAGCAGUGAACAGCAGCCAUGAAGCACAUCUGCUGUCACUAAGUCUGGACAAUUAUUUAUGGGGCAGGGCUCUUCCUUAAAAGGCCCACAGCAUGGCAAGGGAAGUUUCCUUUGUCUCAGUCAAGCUCCUCUGGCCAAGUAGUUACUGGAAUCAGACUCCCAGCCGUGGGGCAGGCAACCAGCCUGGAUACCAUCUGCUUGGAGAAGAAUGCAGGAAGCACCUACAAGUGAAAGACUUAGGAGUGGGGAACAGGGAUGAUGAAAAGGAUGAGACACGAAGGUCCCGUGCCUCAGACAAGGAUUGGUUGGAAAUAGUAGAUUUUAAACAGGUGUGUGUGAAUCCCCUGGGCAUUUGGACAUAGGUGAGCCCGGGAACGAGGCUACAUAGAGCAUCCUGGGAAGGAGGGGGUGGCAGAGUUCAGCAGGAAGCAGCUCAUGAGCAAGGACAGGAAGAAAUGUCUCCAAAAGGUCAAUAGACCCAUGAAGCCAAUGCUUCCACCAGUCAAUAGUCACAUGACGAUGGGAGAUGGGAAUGGCCGCCCCAGAAGAGUUGGCGGGGACAUCCCUUCCAGCUGCAGGUAUACACAUCUGUUCUUCUGUAGAGCGGUUCCUGGUCCUUGGGGGUGAACAUCUGUGUGGCUAGAAGUUCUC
This 1723-nucleotide small RNA is filed under the name Rattus norvegicus (Norway rat). RNAcentral describes it as "uncharacterized LOC102552565". The record is from RNAcentral. Lineage: Eukaryota; Metazoa; Chordata; Mammalia; Rodentia; Muridae.